RNAcentral lists this long non-coding RNA (10562 nucleotides) under Gossypium barbadense (sea-island cotton). RNAcentral describes it as "long non-coding RNA (GBAR_LNC014580)". Lineage: Eukaryota; Viridiplantae; Streptophyta; Magnoliopsida; Malvales; Malvaceae. The record is from RNAcentral.
AGCGACCCAUUUAAGGGCGGUCCAUGAAUCGUCGUACGCGGCGGGAAGUGGGUGCUCGGGGGAUCUCCGGUAAUUGACUGAAACAGCGACGAUUUUAGCUUCGGCGACUAAGGCGUUUAAGUAAUUGUGAUACGUAGGAGAGAAGGCGCUUUCUAUGCAGAAGCCUCCGCCGUGGAAGUACACGAGGAGAGGGAGUUUCUGGGCGGAGGUGACGACGGUUCCGGGAACGUAAAUCCUUACGGAUUGGGCGAUUUCUUGGGAGUAAAGGACGUCUUUGGAUUCAACGUUGGUUUGGGGGUCGAGGCCUGGAGGGACGUUUUCGGUACCUGAAAGCCUUUUGAUGCGACCGUCCUUGUAUAAGCGAAAAAAAGGAGCGCCGUCUAUGAGUAUCUCCGAUGCGGCGGAUUCCAUGGCGGUGAAAAAGAAACAAAGAAGAUACAAAAGGCAAAGCACAAAGAUUACAAAGAUGGUGGAAUAUAUAAUAAAAGGAAAAAUGAUGAAUGGUGAAUAGAUUAUGGUGCAUUGUAAUGAGCUAGCGGCACUGUGCAUUGUAAUGAGCUAGCGGCACUCUCUUAAGAACCAAUGUUGCUUCAACCACAGUUAAGGUAUUAAUUUGGGGAGGAGUUUUAAAUCUGUUAAUUCGAGAAUUGAUAUUGAAAAUUUUUGUCGGGUAAGAUUGUUUUAUUAUUUUUAAUAAUUUUUUAAUUGGAUUAGCCGAAUCAAUGAAUUAGUGUUUGAUCAAUCAUAGGUUAGAUUUAGAAUACAUUGUUAAGAACUAGACUAGUCGGUUGGACCGAAUGAAUCAUUCUUUUUUAAAUUGAGAUAAUAUAAUUUUUGGCCCGUGAAUUUAGUAAUUAGAUCUACUUUGGUAUAUAAACUUGAUGCUUAGAUUCAUUUUGAUCACUAAACUUAAAAAUUAUAAAAAUUUGAUAAUGUGGUACUUAGAGUGUCACAUAUAGUGUUUUAAUAAUUGGACUAGUCUAUUGGUUCAUGAUUUAAUCGAUUUGAUUGGCUCAAUUGCUAGAUCAACAAUAAUUAAAAAUUCAUAUAUAUUUUUUAAAAAAACUAUUAAAUUGGUUUGACAUAUUCAACUAUUGGUUUUUGUCUUGAUUUUUUAUUUUUAUCGGUUUCAAGCAAUUUCUAAUUUAAUCAAUUCAACUCUUUUGUUUGGACUAGUAUAUCGGUCAGUUCUCGACCCAAUUGGUCCGACCAUCCAAUCCAGUUAUGUUCCAAGAACACUGGUCACAAUAUCAAAUUUUAACGAAAUAUUAAAUCAUGGGCCAAAAUGGAUUUAAUUACCAAGUUCAGGUACCAAAAUGAAUAAAAAAAAUACAUGUACCAAAAUAGAUCUAGUUGCCUAGUUCAAAGGGAAAAAAAUCAUAUUAAUUUUUUUUUAAAAAAAAUUAUUCAAUUGAAUCAACCAAACCGAUUCAACCUAUCAAACCAAAAAGUAAUAAUCUAACCAGUUUAACCAUCAAUUCACUUUUAAAGAUUUUGAGCCUAAUCAUUGAGGCCAUUGUCUUGUUUAAAAACUGACCUUAAAUUAUAACAUUUUUAUCAUUUAAGUAUUUAAAUUUUUUUUUUAUCAAAAGUAGUACUUAAACUUACUUUUGCGUUAAUAAAAUUCUUAAUGAAGAAUUGUAAUGGGUUAAAUAGGAUGAAAAUCAAUCAAAUUAAAAAUUGAUUGAUAUAACACGAAGAGACACAAAAAAAAUAGUUGAUUUGUAAAUUAAUAUAAACUUAUUGACCUCGACUAGAAAAAAUUAGUUGAAUAAGAUGUUAUAAUUUUUUUUUUAAAAUGCAAUGUUUUAAAUAAAUUUUUAAUAAAUUAUUUAAAACAUUGCAUUUUUGCUCAUCAAUAAUUUGUAAUAAGACAUGGAUGGCAUAGAUGAUAGUUUAUAUUUAUUACAGAAAAAGAUAAACGCAGGAGACAAUGAGGAAAACAUAAAAACAAAUGAAUAUGUUGAGAUUAAAAUAUUUAUCUUAAAAUAAAUGUCAAUUUUAAAAAGAAAAUUUUGAAACAUAGCAAGAGAAUUGACUUUGGAUAAAAGGACAAGCAGAUAGAUCACAAUCAAUUAAGAAUUAUUGAUGUUAAAAUAUUGGUUAUUUUUACGGAUAAGUUUUAGCUCGAUUGGUAUGGAUAUUAUUAUUAAUGUAAGAAAACGUAUGUUCGAGUAUGUCAAAGCACAUUAUCCUCCUAUUUUAAUUAAUAAUUCAACAGAGAAAUAAUUAAAAUAUCAAAUAUUAAUAAAAUUAGUGAUUAAAAUAAUUUAUUGUGAAAAUAAUUCAACCUACAUAUUAUAAAAAAGGAUAUCAUCCGAUCAACUCAAGUAAUCCAAACUUAAAAUAAAAUAAACUCUAAACAAUCCCAACCCAAAAUAACUAUAAGAUCAAAAUUAGCAAAAUUCAAAAAUAAUUCAAACCAAAAACAACUUUAAAAAUUUAAAAUCCAAAUCCGAAUCGAAUUGCUGGGUAUUGUUCAUAUUAUCAUCCAAAACACAAUUCAACACUAAAUUACUAUCCCAAUUAUACUUUUUUACAGCUACUUUUAAGCCUUACCCUGGUUCAUGAACUCUGCAACUUUUUUCAGCUUAGCCACAGCAUUUGAGCAACAGGGUUUGCUUAAAUGGAACACAUGGUCUUCCCCUUCAGCCUCCACCACCUCCACUUCACCAUCCCACCCACUGUUCUUCAACUUCUCGCAGUAGUACCAGCCCCUGUAUUUCAGUAUAUCGUUUUCAGCAACACAAAUCAGUACCCUUUUGCACCCUAAGAACCUCCCAAAGCUUUGAUCAUCAAUGGGGUUGAUCAAUGGAUCAUCGGACCCACUCGUUGUAGGAGAGGCCAAUCGCCAGAUCCCUUCGAUUUCCGCCCAUACGGCUGGGUUCUUAUCCUCAUCGCCAACCGGUUCUUUGCCCCAAAAAUAUGGGUGGCUUAAAAUCAUACCGACGAGAUUCAUACCGUCGAGCUUCUCCUUGCUGGUUUUAAUGGCGAUGUGGUGUGCUAUGUUGGCACCGGCGCUAUCCCCCGAGAGAUAAACGUUUUCGAAGUCGGCGUAGCGGUUCAACCACUGUUCGGGACCGUUUCCGUCGUAAUGGGAAGCCACCCAUUUAAGGGCAGUCCAUGAAUCGUCGUAAGCGGCAGGGAUAGGGUGUUCGGGGGCUCUUCGGUAAUCGACGGAAACGGCGACGAUUUUAGCUUCGGAGACUAAGGCGUUUAAGUAAUUGCGAUACGUAGGAGAGAAGGCGGUUUCUAUGCAGAAGCCUCUGCCGUGGAAGUAGACGAGGAGAGGGAGUUUCUGGGCGGAGGUGAAGACGGUUCCGGGGACGUAAAUCCUAACGCAUUGGGCGGUUUCUUGGGAGUAAACGACGUCUUUGGAUUCGACGUUGGUUUUGGGAUCGAGGCCUGGUGGAACAGUUUGAGUGCCUAAAAGCCUCUCGAUGCGACCGUCCUGGUAUACCCGAAGCAUCGGAGCGAAGUCGAUGCGGAUUUCCGAUGCGGUGGGUUCCAUGGCGGUGAAAAAAGAAAGAAGAUAAGGGAAGCAAGCACGAAGAUGGAGCUUGUUACUUGCAGGAUGAUAUAGUGGCUGAUGGCUCUACUUGGAUUACCAUAUAAGACAAUAUAAAAAGGUUUAAUAUACUACUUGGUACCUAAGUUUGGCUCUAAUGUUUAAUUUGGUACCUUAUUUUUUUCUCAAGAUCUCUUGAGUUUGGCUUCAAUGUCUAAUUUGAUACUCAGACCAAACGGCAUCAUGUGGACCCAUAAAUGUUUGAUACAAUACUCUAAUAAAAAAUAUGUACUUAAUUGAGAAAAAAAAAGACACUAGCAUCAAAUUGAACAUUUGAAGCCAAAUUUAGGUGCUUAAUUGGGACAAAAAGAAACUCAAGUGUCAAAUUAAAAAAAAUAAGUACCAAUUUGAGCAUUGAAACCACAUUCAAGUGUUAAAUUGAGAUAAAAAAAAUGUUAGAUAUCACAUUGAACAUUGAGAUCAAACUUAGAUAUCAAAUGUUAUAUUAAUCUUUAGAAAAAUAUUAAAAUAUUACGAUCCAUUAAUUAAAUGUAAUAUUUUUUUUCAAAAUUUAGAGUUGAUUUGAUUAAAUUUUAUUUAUAUUAUUAUUAGUUAAUUAUUAAAUUUCAUUAGAUCAACCCUAAAACCCGAAUUAAAUAUUAAAAGGUUAACAUCAUCACCAAAAGACAUAAUGACAAAUUUAGCCUUUAACAUUUACAUCUUUUAUCAAAUUAACCUUUAUUCUUUUUUCAAGCUAAAUUUGGUUCUCAACGUUUGAAUAUAUACAUAUAUUAUCAUUACAAUAUUGAAAUUAUUAUACAAUAUAUUUUGAUAGCCAGGUCGAAAAUUUUAAAAAAAUAAUAUCAGUGCGAAGAUUAAAGAAGAAAGCUGUUUAGAAUUUGGUUCGUAGAUUCGUUACGUUCAAAUCUAUUGCAUGAAGAAAAAAAAUUGAACUUUAAAAGAGAAAGAGAGUUUUCGAUUAGUGCAGACAGUGUGAACAGAGAAUGCCAUACAACAAAAAUUUUAAUAGCCCAAUGACUUAAAAAUGAAAACUUUCGAAAAAUUCAAUAAUCAUUUUAUAACUUUUUGAAGUUAAAUAACAUAAACGUAAAUUUACUAAUAGUUUAAUAACAUUAGGCAUAAUUCAAUUUUAAAAAAUUCCAAACUUUAGUUAUUAUAUAUGCAAUUUGAAGAAAAAAAAUGAGGGGAAAAUAUUUAUGACCAUCCUAGGUUGUUAGCAAGUGAGAGUUGUAAUCUAAACCUAAUUUUAUGGGAAGAUUAAAAUUGAAGUUAAAGUAUGGUUUAAUGAAAUACAUAUAAUAAAUAUCAUAUUUAACCUAAUAAAAUUAUCACAUUAAAAAAUUAAAGCUGAUUAAUUCAUCAACCUAAAGUUGGUUCAAUUAUGUUAGUUUUUGAGCUUUAAUUUGAUCAGAUUAAUUUUUGUAGUUUAUGGUCUAUUAAAUAGAUUUAAUAAAUAAAAAAACCAAUCGAAAUGGCUGAAAAACCGAAUGCUCACUCUCACCCUUUGAUAGGGCACUCGUGGGCAACUAUGCUACUAUUUAGUGGUUCUGGGACGACGACACUUUGAAAAAAUCUUUUAAAGGAGUCGAAAGUCCUUUCACAAUAUAUAUAUUGUUCCAAGUAAUUUUGGGUAUAUUUUUAUGUUUUUUUUAAAUAUUCGUGUUCAAUACAUGUAUGCAACACCCAAUGACGGAAUGUAAUUGGAGCUAGCCCUUAAAAAUUGAGAAAUUGUCAUUGAGCCUUUCAAAAAUUUUGAAAAUUUUAAAAGUUCUCAUUAAAUCUCAUGGUUUUUGGAAUUGGAUCGAUGGUCGAACCAAUCAAGUCAUCUGUUCCUAGUUCAACCAAUCUAGUUUCAAUAAAAUAAAUUAUUAAAAAUUAUAAACCCAGUUCAACUACCAGCUCAAUGAUUUUUUAUCCUAAUCUGUAAGUCAACUAGUUCUUUCACUUGAUCUAGACGGGUGUAUUAACCGCUUCGAUCUGAUUUCAACAACCAUGUUAAUUCUCUCAAAAAUUUUAAUUAAAUACCUAAAUUGAAAAAAAAAUUACAACCUCGAAUUUAUUUUUUAAAAAUUAAUUUUAAUGCCACAUUCUGUGAACGACAACACCUACUAUGUCUAUAUGCCAACAUUUAGGACAAAUGCAAAAGCAAAUAAAUUAUGAUUGAUUAAUGUGUCAUCGUUCAAACGAUUUACAUUGUCUCUUAUAAAAGUGAAAUUCAAUUUGAAACAUGCUACACCUACCAAUAAUUAAUUCCAACAAAAAUAUGUAUUCAAAUUAUUCCAUUAGUUGGAUUUGGUUUUGAGUCAAUUUAAUUAAUUUAGAUUUUAAAAUUUCUGGACUCGAGUAAUUUUAAAUUUAAAUUAUUUUAAGUUUGAAAUUUAAGUUUUUAAAUUGGGCAUUUCAAGUUUCUUAUGUAAACAAUUUCGAGUUCAGGUAAAUUUUAAUAUCAAAUCAUAUUGAAUUUAAAUUUAAAUUAAUCGGAUCAAUUUUUUCUCAAGGUUACAACUAGCUUAUCUUUCCCAAAAUGUUUUCUCAAACUGUAUUUAUAGCAUAAAUUUUUAAAAUAUCAAAUCAUAUAAAAAUUGUAUUUAUAGCAUAAAUUUUUAAAAAUAAUAAAUUUAAUUAAAUUUUAAAAAAUUAAUAAUUAAAAUAAGUAAAUUAAAAUAUGGGAAAGAAAUGCAUCACCAUGAGAGCGAAUAUGAUAAUAAUAGAAAAAAGUCAAUUCAGUCAAUUUUUUAAUUUACUUCAACCGAUUUCGUGUGAUUUUGCUCAAAAUUUGAUUCAAGUUUUUGUUCGUAUUGAUAUAUCAAACGAUUCCCGAUCCAACUAGUCCGAUUCAACUUUAACAACCAUGAAAUUAAUAGCUACAAUUCUUUAUUUAUAGGAUCAAUUUUAGGUUGAGCUCUUGUAUAAUAUUUGAGCAAUUUUCAAUUAUUUCAAUAGAAGUCUUCAAAGUAUUGUUCGCUUGAAAUUGAUAGACUUCUCAAGAUAUCUAAUAUUGUCUCUUGUUGAUGUUUUAUCUCUCAACUCUGAUAAGAGCCCAAAUGCUUGAAGCUACUUAAAGAGACUAUAAGUCCAAUAAAGAGCAUCUCAUCACAAUAGAUCGUGCAUGAGAUCGCUUAUCAAGGAAAUGUGAGCAUUUACACUUGAUAAGAUUUGAGUCAAUGCUCUACUAUAUAGACACUUACAAUCAACUAUCAUAUCAAUUAUGGGCAUAUGGCACCCACUCUGUUGAACCCGUAGUCUCUUUAAACAACCUUCGACACUUAAGCUAUUAACAAUAUCAUCAAGAGAUAAAACUGUUGACACCAUUUUUUUGGAUUAAAAACGGGGUCGACUUGGAUUUUGAAAAUAAAAACGGGAGUCGCCACCAAUCCUUUUUGAUGAGGUGUGAUUGGGUCACCUCGUAAAAAUGGUUGUUUUUAAUAAACGGUUUAAUUUUAUUAAAACAACGAGUUUGGUCCACGAAAUUCAGAAAACGGGUUCGGGAGUUGGUUACGCACGAGGAAGGAUUAACACCCUCGAUACGCCCAAAAUUAGUACCUAGUGGAUUACUUAAUGUCUUAAUGUCAAAAAUUGAGGACUGGGAAAAAUUAAAAAUAUGAUCCUUGUAUUAAAUUUUUUUUUUAAAAAAAGGGGAUAUUCCACGUUAAUCGAGAAAGAAAGCAUCAUAUCCAGUAAGUUAGGACACAAUGUCUCGAAUUCUCAACACGUAAAAAUGCCAAAAUUUUACUCAUUUAAAAGACAUUUUAGCCAUCUCGGGUUUAAAAAUAAGAUCACGACCAGUAAGUUAGGACGCGAUUUUUUCUUAAAAUCCCGAGAUCGUUUGAAAUUUGAGUUCGAAAAAUUCGUGCAUUUAGAUUUAUCGUGAAAAUCGAAACUCAGUAAGUUAGGGUACGAUUUUCUCGAAUCUAAACACGAAAUGCCAUUUUUAAAACAAAUCUUGUUAUAUCGAGUAAAAUAAAACACGAAAUCGUAGUAAAGAAUGUGAAAGCAAAUUACAUUUUGUUAUGCAUGGAAAAAUCAUAAUGAAUACGAAAGUAUAAAAAUGAUAUGAACAACGAUAACAACAUAAAAUAGAUAAAAAGUCAACCUUACAACAUAUAAACAAUAAAAUAUAAAAACGAAUAAAAAUUACAACAUGCAUUCAAAAUAAUAAUGGAAAUGAAAUAAAUAAAAAGUAAAUACAAAAUAAAACAAUAGUAAUGAAUAAAAAUAUAAUAUAUAUAUAUAUGUAUGUUAGAAUUAUAAAGUAUAAAAAUAUAUGUAUGUAUAUAUAAGAAUAUGUAAGCAUGUAUAUAUACAUAGAUUAUAAAAUAUAGAUAUGUAUAUAAAAAUGAGUAUUUGUAUUAAAUAAGUUGAAUAUAUAUAUAUAUAUACGUAUACAUAAACAAUUAUAUAAUAAUAAAACAUAUAUAUCUAGAAUUUACAUAAGUAAAUAAAAAUAAAAAUAACUAUAAUAAUAGUAAAGAUGAUAAUAGUAAUAAUAGAUAUAAUAAUAACUAAAUAAUAAAAUUGCUAAAAUAUAGGCUAAAUCGAAAUAAAAACGAAAAUAUUGGGCGAAAUCGAAAUUAAAAAGGAUUAUAUUGUAAUAAGCGCCAAAAUAAGGGGGACCAAAAUAGAAAAUAAACCAAAGUCCCCAAAACGCGGCGCAGCAGAGGACUAAUAUAAAACAGAAAUAAAACUUCGGGGCUAAAUUGCAAAAAUGCAAAAAACCGCCUCGACAGAGCCACAAAAUCGGAGGGACUUAUUGCGGAAAUACCCCAUUAAAGAAAAUACGCGGAUCCUCCCCUGGGUCGGGUCACCGCGCGGGUUAAAGAGGGCCUAAACGGCGCCGUUCUAUUUUUAAUAUAAAAAAUAAAAAAACCCAAAACCAUCGGAUUUUCAUUUUUUACAAAAAAAAAAAAAGAAAGGGAGGGAGAGAGAGAUGCUCUCCCUGGCCACGCAUCCGGCCUGGGCAUCCGGCGAGCCUCCGCCGUAGCGCCAUGAUGUGUGGCGGCCGGAGGCUCAAAAUCGGACCUUUUUUGGUUCCCUUUGUAGCCCACUGCUUCUAGGCCAGGAAUAUGGAGCCGAAACUCGUCAAAAAGGAUACCAAAGACUCGAAAACGAGCCGACACCCUUCGACUUCUCCCCCUCCGGCGCGGCGCAGGAAGAAAGGUACUCCCUUUCCUUUUCUUUUUAAAUGUUUCUUUGUUUGCUGGUGUAGGGAGAAAAAUGAAAAAUAAAAAACAAAAAAAAAAAAGCAAAUCAGAAACAAGAGAAUCGCAAAUCACCUUCAAACUUUGUUUUUUUUUUUAUUUCUGAAAGUGUUUCUUUUACAAGAUGAUAAAACAAAAAAAAGUCCAACCCCCAAAUAUUACAUAUUGUUGGCUUUUAUAGCCGCAUCUAUUGUUGCUGUUUUCUGCUUUUUGCUUCUUUGUUCCUUCUUUGUAGGUGACGGCGCAAGUGGCAUGGGAGCGGUGACGGUGACUGACGUGCGGCGGUGGCAGUGGCUAAGGGUAGGGUGCGGCGCCAGAAGACCAAGAGUCAAAGCAUGCGGCGCUAGAGGCGGCGCCUAGGGAUUCAGACUGAAAACCCUAGGCAGAUAUUUUUUAGGGAAAUUGGGCCUGGGCUAAUGGACUUCGGGUUUGUAUUGGGUCAGGAGGGUUUAGAAUUGGGUCAUUUGGGUUCGGCUGGUUGGUGAGGUUUUGGGUAGAUUUUAGAUGGAUUUAUAAUGGGCCGAUCGGGUUUGGGCUGGUUGGGUUAGUGAGUAGUAGGCCUAGGGCUAUUGGGUCAGCCUUGUAAUUGGGCUUAAGUAGGUUGGGCUGAAAUGGAUUAGGUCAAAAUGGGCCUGUACAAAAACCUCAACUAAAAAUAAUCCCGAACAUGUUAAGAAUUUACCGACUCUAAGUAAACGACAACUCAAAAACUUAUUUAAAAGGAGUCAUGAAAAUAUCUUUCAACCUACAUAUUAUAAAAAAGGAUAUCAACUCACUCAAGUAAUCCAAACUUAAAAUAAAAUAAACUCUAAACAAUCCCAACCCAAAAUAACUAUAAAAUCAAAAUUAGCAAAAUUCAAAAAUAAUUCAAACCAAAAACAACUUUAAAAAUUUGAAAUACAAACCCGAAUCGAAUUGCUGGGUAUUGUUCAUAUUAUCAUCCAAAACACAAUUCAACACUAAAAAUCAAUGGUUCAUAGAACACUAAAUUACUAUCCCAAUUAUACUUUUUUACAGCUACUUUUAAGCCUUACCCUGGUUCAUGAACUCUGCAACUUUUUUCAGCUUAGCCACAGCAUUUGAGCAACAGGAAUUGCGUAAAUGGAACACAUGGUCUUCUCCUUCAGCCUCCAUCACCUCCACUUCACCAUCCCACCCACUGUUCUUCAACUUCUCGCAGUAGUACCAGCCCCUGUAUUUCAGUAUAUCGUUUUCAGCAACACAAAUCAGUACCCUUUUGCACCCUAAGAACCUCCCAAAGCUUUGAUCAUCAAUGGGGUUGAUCAAUGGAUCAUCGGACCCACUCGUUGUAGGAGAGGCCAAUCGCCAGACCCCUUCGAAUUUUGCCCUUACGGCUGGGUUCUUAACCUCAUCGCCAACCGGUUCUUUGCCCCAAAAAUAUGGGUGGCUUAAAAUCAUACCGACGAGAUUCAUACCGUCGAGCUUCUCCUUGCUGGUUUUAAUGGCUAUGUGGUGUGCUAUGUUGGCACCAGCGCUAUCCCCCGAGAGAUAAACGUUUUCGAAGUCGGCGUAGCGGUUCAACCACUGUUCGGGACCGUUUCCGUCGUAAUGGGAAGCGACCCAUUUAAGGGCAGUCCAUGAAUCGUCGUAAGCGGCAGGGAUAGCGUGUUCGGGGGCUCUUCGGUAAUCGACGGAAACGGCGACGAUUUUAGAUUCGGAAACUAAGGCGUUUAAGUAAUUGUGAUACGUAGGAGAGAAGGCGGUUUCUAUGCAAAAGCGUCCGCCGUGGAAGUAGACGAGGAGAGGGAGUUUCUGGGUGGAGGUGACGACGGUGCCGGGGACGUAAAUCCUAACGCAUUGGCCGGUUUCUUGGC